UUGAUAUUUUUUAUGGUCUUCUUGAUUAUUUGGUUAUUUGGUUCCUCCUGUAUUGUUUAUUUGAUAUUCUGAUUAUUUGGUUAUUCGGUCAUGCUAAACUAUAUCGCUUACUUGGGUGCCGCUUGAAUUAAUCGUUGAUUAUGAAAUGAGAUGUUGGUAUGCAUUGGUGGUUGUUUGGAUGAUAAAAAUCUAUAUAAAUGAAAGGUUGUUGGGUAUCUUGAGAAAUGGUGGACGGGUUUGGUACAUAGAGAACCCUACCAUGAACAUUACCUCAGCGGACGGGGUUGAGAAGUCUCAUACCGUAAGGGUUUUGGAAGAUAUGACUCACCCUCAUAUCGGACAGGGUAUCGAGACAAUGGUGUUUUUGGAGUCCAUUACCGAACGGGAUAUAGGGUCGGCCGAGUUAAUUGUCAAAUUUUAACACUGAAUCUGCGAGUAUAGGGAUAUCCCUAUGGGUACUUAGGGGUCCCAAUAAGUAGCUUAAAGGAAGAAUUGUUAAUCUUAUACAUGAAAAUAAAAUGUCAUUUGGAUAUUUGUCUUCAUAGAUUGAUUUUAGAAAAAAUUGUGAUGGUAAGUAUCAUAUAUAACGUUUUAAAAUU
RNAcentral lists this long non-coding RNA (599 nucleotides) under Carica papaya (papaya). RNAcentral describes it as "long non-coding RNA (CPAP_LNC006324)". Lineage: Eukaryota; Viridiplantae; Streptophyta; Magnoliopsida; Brassicales; Caricaceae. The record is from RNAcentral.